CAUCCCUGCUGUUUUUUUGCUCUUUAUCUAUUAUCAAUAUUUGUUUGCUAUUAAUCAGUUAUCUAUUAAUGCCUACUGUAGAAGUCCCAUAGGGUCAUACUAUUUGCUUUUUUUUCCCCACCACUCUCUUAUGUUCCUCCCAUUUGAACCCAGGAAUACCCUGCUCUUGCCUGAAUCAUGUUUCCUGCUUGGAUAUGAUGUAUUUUCUCAGGGAUUUUUUUAAGCAGUCUUUGCCGUAGGUCUUUCCAGGGUUGAGCCAUCACCUUUGUGGUUGAUCCCUCCCGCCUCUCUCAUGGACUCUUCACUACCAGACGUAGCAACAGGUUUCCUGACUCUAUAUGGCCAAAAGAUUGUGGAAACCUGACCA
Molecule: long non-coding RNA, 367 nt
Organism: Ictalurus punctatus (channel catfish)
Lineage: Eukaryota; Metazoa; Chordata; Actinopteri; Siluriformes; Ictaluridae
Source: Ensembl